ACCUCAAAUCAGGUAAGGAUACCCGCUGAACUUAAGCAUAUCAAUAAGCGGAGGAAAAGAAAAUAACAAUGAUUCCCCUAGUAACUGCGGGUGAAGAGGGAAGAGCACAAAUUUAAAAUCUACCUGGUUUCCAGGUCGAGUUGUAAUUUGAAGAUACGUUUUCGAUGUUCCUGGUUGGACUAAAUCCUUUGGGAUAAGGUAUCAUAGAGGGUGAGAAUCCCGUGUACACCAACCAUAGGGAUGUUAUUUAAUAACGUUUCUAAGAGUCGAGUUGUUUGGGAAUGCAGCUCUAAAUGGGUGGUAGAUUUCACCUAAUGCUAAAUAUAAGCGAGAGACCGAUAGCGAACAAGUACAGUGAUGGAAAGAUGAAAAGAACUUUGAAAAGAGAGUUAAAUAGUACGUGAAAUUGUUGAAAGGGAAACGAUUGAAGUUAGUCAUGCUGGCGGGAAUCAACUUAGGGGAAACUCUGGGUGCACUUCUUCGUUUGGCAGGUUAGCGUCGAUUUUGGAUGUCAUAAAAUGAUUGGGGGAAGGUAGCUCCUUCGGGAGUGUUAUAGCCCUUGGUAGAUGUGAUGUCUGGGAUCGAGGAUUGCAACGGAUACCCUUCGGGGCUAGUCGCCUGAUCCCUAAUUGGUGUUGGGUUACGGACAGCAUGCUGACCGUGAUCUAAUUACUGGUUAAAAGGUUAGAGCGUGCAUAAAUUCGUUAAGGACGCUGACGUAAUGGCUUUAAACGACCCGUCUUGAAACACGGACCAAGGAGUCUAACAUGUAUGCGAGUGUUAAGGG
This 787-nucleotide ribosomal RNA is filed under the name uncultured fungus. RNAcentral describes it as "eukaryotic LSU rRNA". It matches the Rfam family "Eukaryotic large subunit ribosomal RNA", at positions 1 to 699 of the family's 3401-position model. Lineage: Eukaryota; Fungi. The record is from RNAcentral.